CCUACGGGAGGCAGCAGUGAGGAAUAUUGGUCAAUGGGUGCGAGCCUGAACCAGCCAAGUCGCGUGAGGGAAGACGGCCCUACGGGUUGUAAACCUCUUUUGCCGGGGAGCAACGGGCGCCACGUGUGGCGCCACUGAGAGUACCCGGAGAAAAAGCAUCGGCUAACUCCGUGCCAGCAGCGGCGGUACUACGGAGGAUUCGAGCUGUAUCCGUCUUUAUUGGGUUUAAAGGGUGCGUAGGCGGAGCGUUAAGUCAGUGGCCAAGUUGAGGGGCUCAACCCCUUCCCGCCAUUGAAACUGGCGCUCUUGAGUGGAAGAGAAGUAUGCGGAAUGCGUGGUGUAGCGGUGAAAUGCAUAGAUAUCACGCAGAACCCCGAUUGCGAAGGCAGCAUGCCGGCUUCCGACUGACGCUGAAGCACGAAAGCGUGGGGAUCGAACAGGAUUAGAUACCCCGGUAGUC
Molecule: ribosomal RNA, 460 nt
Filed under: uncultured bacterium
Lineage: Bacteria
Description: partial 16S ribosomal RNA
Rfam family: Bacterial small subunit ribosomal RNA
Source: RNAcentral